This 2065-nucleotide long non-coding RNA is filed under the name Cottoperca gobio. RNAcentral describes it as "lncRNA (ENSCGOG00000011966.1)". Lineage: Eukaryota; Metazoa; Chordata; Actinopteri; Perciformes; Bovichtidae. The record is from RNAcentral.
AAAUAACAAUAUGACUGAGGUACAAUAGGUUAUUUUGCACAUAGAAGGGUGGAUACCAUGUUAAACUGACAGUGUCUUUUAUCCUUCUUAUAAUAUGAGGCCUGAUAGGGUCCUCAAUAUAUGUAAAUUAUACAGUUUGCCUCUGAGGGCUGCGAUGUUCGAUUCGCAUAUUAGAAUAAAAUGCUAGUCCCGCUAAUGUUAAUGCAAUAUGUGUUCAAAUCAUGUUUUGCACUACUUUCAGCACUUUUCGCCGCAAUGUAGCAUUCAGCGGUUUCACCCCAAAAAAAAAAAAAGAAGGGCGAUGAAAAAUAAUUAUGGUUGCAAUCAAGUUACUACGAAAACCUAUUUGAUUAGCGGCCACUCUUUACUCAAAUUGCAGCUAUAAAAUUAAGAACAAUUCGCCUGUAAUGAUUAUGGACUGGAUUUAUUUUGGGAGGGUGGAAUAAAAGUGGAUAUAGCAUAAAUUAUCCCCUAAUUAUACGCCAGUGUCGCCUCAAUUAUCCUCAUCAAAAAUGGUUGUCUAAAUGCAGCGUUUAGUUUCAAUUUUCUCCUUUUCGGUAACAAGAACUUGGUACCUUGCUAUUAUCGCCCUGCUACGGUUGUUAUUUACUUUGUGGGAUUUAAAAGUGCACAACCCAGCCGGAUAAUCAUUUUACAGCAGCGGAUGAAGAGGGGAGCACAGAGGCAGGGAUGUGAGCCGCAAGACAUCCAGACGGACUUGCUUUUAUGCUUCCAGACUAGAUCCAUUGAAAUUGUAUUUUCUUUAAAAACCAGGGUGCUUCUUUGUCGUCAGGAGGGCUGCAGCCACUGCAUCUCUCCUCUCCAUAUUCCUCUUCAUACCCCUCUCUUCCUCUCCCCUCAACCUCGCUCCCUCUCGCUAACCCCCACACCUCUCUCCCCCUUUUCCUUCCCUUCACUACCACCCCCUCUCCCUCCCCCCAAUAGGUACGCCUCCAUCCCCUCUUGGCAGCUCCAUCUCCUUCCCCCCUGUCUCUCCUCCCUCUCCCUGGUUGGUUUCCACAGCUGUGGUGAGUGAGGGGCAGAUGACCGGAGAAUUGGCCCCUGGGAGAGUGCUGAGCCAUCCUGGUGCUAUUAGGCUCGUGGCUAAUAAUAGGUGUUUCAGACCAGGGGAAGAUCAAUCAGGGGGAAUCAUGGGGAAUGUUCGGAGCAUCGCUUUUUACACAUCGGCCCAGAUGGAUGAAAUUACACAUGUCAGUUUUUAGUUGCAUUACUCCCAAAUUGGUUGUCUACUCUUUUUUUUACUCUCUCUCCCUCCCUCCCUCGCUCUCUCUCCUUUCUCCUUUCUCUCUCUUUGCCUUCAUUCAUGUGUCAGUGGCCUGCUAAAGGGAUUCAACGGUGAAAUCCCUGUCAUUUUUGUAUUUUCCCUGUUUAGCCCUCAGCCAGAAACUCUGUUGCCUGCAUAUGCACUCAGAAGAAAUUCGUUUUAGACCUAGUCUUAUGGCUCGGGCAAUUUUCAUGUUAAAGGCAAGUGUGGAACUGACAUUGUGUAUGUGCUCUGCAUGUAUUAUAAAACAAUUUGAUGGACUCUCGCAAACACCCAGAGUACAGUCAAAGCGACAAACAGAAAAUGUAUUGUAUGUAAUGUAACUAUUUUGAUUAUUUUGAUUAAUUAUUUCACAGAUUUUUUAAUGCAAAAUGACAGCUGUUCCAAGGUGAGCAUUUGCAGCUUUUGUCUGUUUCAUAUCACAGUAAGCCGAAUAUCUUUCGGGGUAUUUAGACCGUGAACUAGACGUUUUAAGAUAUAACCUUGCAUUCUAGGGAACAUUUCAUAGAAUAGUCCUCGUGUGAAAUACAGCCUUAGAAUUGUAACAUAUUUCUAAUGUUAAGUUGAUUUACACAAAUUUGUUUUAAAAGCAAUUUCAUAAAUGUGUUAAGUACAAUAAUUGUAUUGUCAUUUCAGAAAAAAUCGUGUAUAAUUGUAAUGUAAUUAAAUCUGUCAGGUGCAAAUGAAACCUUUGGUCUGUAUCUCACCGUUUGAAACUGAAUAAAAUUCCCCACACAAUACUCACUCUCUUUGGUGUUUGAUUUAAACAUUCAUUAAAUG